Molecule: ribosomal RNA, 346 nt
Filed under: uncultured Pseudomonas sp.
Lineage: Bacteria; Pseudomonadati; Pseudomonadota; Gammaproteobacteria; Pseudomonadales; Pseudomonadaceae
Description: bacterial SSU rRNA
Rfam family: Bacterial small subunit ribosomal RNA
Source: RNAcentral
GUCGACCGGUAGAGAGAAGCUUGCUUCUCUUGAGAGCGGCGGACGGGUGAGUAAAGCCUAGGAAUCUGCCUGGUAGUGGGGGAUAACGUUCGGAAACGGACGCUAAUACCGCAUACGUCCUACGGGAGAAAGCAGGGGACCUUCGGGCCUUGCGCUAUCAGAUGAGCCUAGGUCGGAUUAGCUAGUUGGUGAGGUAAAGGCUCACCAAGGCGACGAUCCGUAACUGGUCUGAGAGGAUGAUCAGUCACACUGGAACUGAGACACGGUCCAGACUCCUACGGGAGGCAGCAGUGGGGAAUAUUGGACAAUGGGCGAAAGCCUGAUCCAGCCAUGCCGCGUGUGUGAA